This 197-nucleotide ribosomal RNA is filed under the name uncultured bacterium. RNAcentral describes it as "partial 16S ribosomal RNA". It matches the Rfam family "Bacterial small subunit ribosomal RNA", at positions 328 to 539 of the family's 1533-position model. The record is from RNAcentral.
ACGCUCGACACCUACGGGAGCAGCAGUGGGGAAUAUUGCACAAUGGGGGAAACCCUGAUGCAGCGACGCCGCGUGAAGGAAGAAGUAUUUCGGUAUGUAAACUUCUAUCAGCAGGGAAGAAAAUGACGGUACCUGACUAAGAAGCCCCGGCUAACUACGUGCCAGCAGCCACGGUAAUCUGAGCGGGCUGGCAAGGC